Brassica rapa (field mustard) is the source of this 4206-nucleotide long non-coding RNA. RefSeq lists it as uncharacterized. The record is from RefSeq and is a predicted model, not a curated record. NCBI's taxonomy places the organism in Eukaryota, Viridiplantae, Streptophyta, Magnoliopsida, Brassicales, Brassicaceae.
ACAGCAAAUUUAUUAAUAUAUUCUAAAUAAAUUUAUUUUGAUGCCGUAUUAUUUAAUAUACUCAUAUAACUUGUGUGUCUACUCUGUAAUAUUGAGUUUGGUAUUUUCCAAGAAUAAUCAAUGAUCAAGAAAAAGUUGUUUAAACUUUCAAAUUAGUCAACAAAUAUAUAAAAAAACUCCGCCAAGCAUAUGUUAAUAAAAAGAAAUUUAUAUUCUAAAUACAAAAAACUAAAAUUAUGUUUUAAUUAUUAAAAACAGGUGUAGUGGCGAAUGCUCAAAAAGGACGACCAGUCCGAAAAAAAUGUGUUGAACAAUACCCGGACCCAAAUGGAAAAUGUGUUUUCGACCAAUGUAAAGCCCAAUAUACCAAAAACAGAAAAGGAGGGCUAGCUAGAUGCAUUGAUACUGGUAAAGGACACAUGCAAUGCCGAUGCGAUUAUCAUUGUUGAUUUUUAUCUACGUUGAAACUCAAAUAAUAUUUAUAAUAAUACAAUAAUACUGCCUCAUUAUCAAUGAAAAGAAUUUAAAUAUUAAUAAUUUUGUUGGUGAUUGUUGUGUAAUAAGGUGUACUAGAUUACUAAAUAUAAAUCCAAAUUAACAUAUUUCUGUCUUUUUGUACAAUAACGUUAAAUAACCGAAAAAAUUAAAUGAUAAUUAGCAGUUAUUUCAUAUAGAAGCUGAAAUUUUUUUAAUAUUUUUUAUUUUACAUUUAACCAUUUAUCAUUUUUACAAUCAAAAUCAGAUUUUUUAAGAUAUUUAUAUUUCAAAGAGAUUUAACAAAAAAAAAAGUGUUAACCAUUCCAUUGGAAUCAACAAAGCAAGAAUCACAUUUAUCUUAAAUAUAACUGAGGUAGAUGCAUUGAUACAUGCCAAGGACACAUGCAAUGCAGAUGCGAUUAUCAUUGUUGAUUUUUAUCAACGUUGAAACUCAAAGCAAUAUUUAUACUAUUGCAAUAAUACUACCACUUUAUCAAUGAAAAGAAUUACAAUAUUAAUAAUUUUGUUGGUGAUUGUAGUGUAAUAAGGUGUACUAGAUUACUAAAUAAAAAUAACAAAUUUGCAUAUUUCUGUCUUAUUGUACAAUAACGUGAAAUAACCAAAAAAAUAAAUUAGAAUUAGUAGUUAUUUCAUAUAGAAGCUGAAAGAAUUUUUUUUUUAACAUUUUACCAUUUAUCAAUUUCACAAUCAAAAUCAGAUUUUUAAAGAUACUUAUAUUCCAAAGAGAUGUUACAAAAAAAAAAAAAGUGUUAACCAUUUCACUGGAAUCAGCAAAAGCAAGAAUCACAUUUAUUUUAUGAAUUCAUGUUCGGCUGCGGUUUUGGAAGAGUUUCCUGAUAUCAUCUUUGCUUAUAGAUAUAGUGAUGAAUACAUGGUAUUAAGCUCACUUUCUUGUCUUUGUUUGUCUUACACUCACUCUAUAUAUCACUGUUAUCCCUUUUUAAUUGUUUUACGCAGCAUUGUAUUAAAAAAAACCUCAAGAUUCUACCAGAGACGAGCCAGAUAUUAUUGAUCUCAUGUAAGCCUUUUUCUCCAAUAUUAUGUAAUUCGCCUUCUCCGGAUAUUGAAACUCAGACCUCCUGGUGUAGAAAUAUUAAUGAACCCUCUAUCAAACCACCGUACCAAAAGGACUUCAAUUCUAAUGAAUUUGCUUAUAUAACUUUUCUUUCGUGUCACUUAUAUAUAUAAUAUUGUUAAAAAUGUAUAUAAAGAUAUAUAUAUAUAUAUAUAUAUAUAUAUAACUCUUUUUAUAUUUCACUUAAAAAUGAAUUUUUAUUUUAUUAGACCAAAUUACCAUUAAUCAUUUAUUUUUCGGUUUCUUUUUUUUAACUAGGUAUUGUAUAAAUUUUGAAUUUGUGACUUCAUAGAAUUUGAUUUCUUAUGUAUAUCGAUAAAUAUUUUCAAUAAAAUUUAAAAUAAAUGAGUCAAAAUUUUUAUCUAUUAAAUAAAUAAAAUUAGAAUUGUCAUUUUUUUGGGGUCAAACUAGAUCCUUAUAUUUUGGCAUUUUAAACGCGACUUAACUUAAUUUAGAUAUAUUUAAUUUUGUGAUUGAUCUAUAAAUAUACUUCUCGGUCUUUCUUAAUUUUAAAACACUAUUAGUUCAUUAUUUAAUUUAUUCUGUCAGAAAAAAAAAUAAGAUGAAAAUUUAUUAUCGAUCAUCGCUUAUUGGUCUCGUCAUGCUCACAAUUCUUCUGCUUGGUGUAGUGGCGAAUGCUCAAAAAGGACGACCAGUCCGAAAAAAAUGUGUUGAACAAUACCCGGACCCAAAUGGAAAAUGUGUUUUCGACCAAUGUAAAGCCCAAUAUACCAAAAACAGAAAAGGAGGGCUAGCUAGAUGCAUUGAUACUGGCAAAGGACACAUGCAAUGCCGAUGCGAUUAUCAUUGUUGAUUUUUAUCUAUGUUGAAACUCAAAUAAUAUUUAUAAUAAUACAAUAAUACUGCCUCAUUAUCAAUGAAAAGAAUUUAAAUAUUAAUAAUUUUGUUGGUGAUUGUUGUGUAAUAAGGUGUACUAGAUUACUAAAUAUAAAUCCAAAUUCACAUAUUUCUGUCUUUUUGUACAAUAACGUUAAAUAACCGAAAAAAUUAAAUGAUAAUUAGUAGUUAUUUCAUAUAGAAGCUGAAAUUUUUUUAAUAUUUUUUAUUUUACAUUUAACCAUUUAUCAUUUUUACAAUCAAAAUCAGAUUUUUUAAGAUAUUUAUAUUUCAAAGAGAUUUAACAAAAAAAAGUGUUAACCAUUCCAUUGGAAUCAACAAAGCAAGAAUCACAUUUAUCUUAAAUAUAACUGAGGUAGAUGCAUUGAUACAUGCCAAGGACACAUGCAAUGCAGAUGCGAUUAUCAUUGUUGAUUUUUAUCAACGUUGAAACUCAAAGCAAUAUUUAUACUAUUGCAAUAAUACUACCACUUUAUCAAUGAAAAGAAUUACAAUAUUAAUAAUUUUGUUGGUGAUUGUAGUGUAAUAAGGUGUACUAGAUUACUAAAUAAAAAUAACAAAUUUGCAUAUUUCUGUCUUAUUGUACAAUAACGUGAAAUAACCAAAAAAAUAAAUUAGAAUUAGUAGUUAUUUCAUAUAGAAGCUGAAAGAAUUUUUUUUUUAACAUUUUACCAUUUAUCAAUUUCACAAUCAAAAUCAUAUUUUUAAAGAUAAUUAUAUUCCAAAGAGAUGUUACAAAAAAAAAAAAGUGUUAACCAUUUCACUGGAAUCAGCAAAAGCAAGAAUCACAUUUAUUUUAUGAAUUCAUGUUCGGCUGCGGUUUUGGAAGAGUUUCCUGAUAUCAUCUUUGCUUAUAGAUAUAGUGAUGAAUACAUGGUCUAAUGCUCACUUUCUUGUUUUUGUUUGUCUUACACUCACUCUAUAUAUCACCUUUAUCUCUUUUCAAUUGUUUUACGCAGCUUUGUACUCAAGAAAACCUCAAGAUUCUACCAGAGACGAGCCAGAUAUUAUUGAUCUCAUGUAAGCCUUUUUCUCCAAUAUUCUGUAAUUCGCCUUCUCCGGAUAUUGAAACUCAGACCUCCUGGUGUAGAAAUAUUAAUGAACCCUCUAUCAAACCACCGUACCAAAAGGACUUCAAUUCUAAUGAAUUUGCUUAUGUAACUUUUCUUUCGUGUCACUUAUAUAUAUAAUAUUGUUAAAAAUGUAUAUAAAGAUAUAUAUAUAACUCUUUUUAUAUUUCACUUUAAAAAUGAAUUUUUAUUUUAUUAGACCAAAUUACCAUUAAUCAUUUAUUUUUCGGUUUCAUUUUUUUAAACUAGGUAUUGUAUAAAUUUUGAAUUUGUGACUUCAUAGAAUUUGAUUUCUUAUGUAUAUCGAUAAAUAUUUUCAAUAAAAUUUAAAAUAAAUGAGUCAAAAUUUUUAUCUAUUAAAUAAAUAAAAUUAGAAUUGUCAUUUUUUUGGGGUCAAACUAGAUCCUUAUAUUUUGGCAUUUUAAACGCGACUUAACUUAAUUUAGAUAUAUUUAAUUUUGUGAUUGAUCUAUAAAUAUACUUCUCGGUCUUUCUUAAUUUUAAAACACUAUUAGUUCAUUAUUUAAUUUAUUAUGUCAGAAAAAAAAUAAGAUGAAAAUUUAUUAUCGAUCAUCGCUUAUUGGUCUCGUCAUGCUCACAAUUCUUCUGCUUGUGGUGAAUGCUCAAAAAGGUGGACCAGUCCGAAAACAAUGUGUUGAACAAUACCCGGACCCAAAUGGAAAAUGUGUUAUCGACCAAUGUAAA